RNAcentral lists this ribosomal RNA (121 nucleotides) under Diaphorina citri (Asian citrus psyllid). The record is from RNAcentral. Lineage: Eukaryota; Metazoa; Arthropoda; Insecta; Hemiptera; Psyllidae.
CUAAUCAGUCCGAUAGAAUGUUGAAUACACUAGUUUCCUAUCGAUCACUGACGCUAAGCAACGUUCUGCUUGGUUGCUAUCCCGGAUGGGUGACCAUCUGGCUAAUCACGUGCUGCUGAGC